AACGCACAUUGCGCCCAUUAGUAUUCUAGUGGGCAUGCCUGUUCGAGCGUCAUUUCAACCCUUAAGCUUAGCUUAGUGUUGGGAAUCUGCUGUAUUGCAGUUCCUCAAAUACAACGGCGGAUCUGUAACAUCCUCUGAGCGUAGUAAAUUCUUAUCUCGCUUUUGUCAGGUGUUGCAGCUCUCAGCCGCUAAACCCCCAAUUUUUGUGGUUGACCUCGGAUCAGGUAGGAAUACCCGCUGAACUUAA
RNAcentral lists this unclassified non-coding RNA (247 nucleotides) under uncultured Xylariales. RNAcentral's name for it is "sequence contains 5.8S rRNA gene, ITS2, 28S rRNA gene". Lineage: Eukaryota; Fungi; Ascomycota; Sordariomycetes; Xylariales. The record is from RNAcentral.